This 860-nucleotide ribosomal RNA is filed under the name uncultured bacterium. RNAcentral describes it as "SSU rRNA". It matches the Rfam family "Bacterial small subunit ribosomal RNA", at positions 524 to 1381 of the family's 1533-position model. The record is from RNAcentral.
UACGGGGGGUGCAAGCGUUACUCGGAAUCACUGGGCGUAAAGAGCAUGUAGGCGGAUUGAUAAGUUGGAAGUGAAAUCCUAUAGCUUAACUAUAGAACUGCUUCCAAAACUGUUGAUCUAGAAUAUGGGAGAGGUAGAUGGAAUUUCUGGUGUAGGGGUAAAAUCCGUAGAGAUCAGAAGGAAUACCGAUUGCGAAGGCGAUCUACUGGAACAUUAUUGACGCUCAGAUGCGAAAGCGUGGGGAGCAAACAGGAUUAGAUACCCUGGUAGUCCACGCCCUAAACGAUGUACACUAGUUGUUGCUAUACUAGAUAUGGCAGUAAUGCAGUUAACACUUUAAGUGUACCGCCUGGGGAGUACGGUCGCAAGAUUAAAACUCAAAGGAAUAGACGGGGACCCGCACAAGCGGUGGAGCAUGUGGUUUAAUUCGACGAUACGCGAAAAACCUUACCUGGCCUUGACAUAGUAAGAACUUUCUAGAGAUAGAUUGGUGCUAGCUUGCUAGAGCUUACAUACAGGUGCUGCACGACUGUCGUCAGCUCGUGUCGUGAGAUGUUGGGUUAAGUCCCGCAACGAGCGCAACCCACGUGAUUAGUUGCUAACGAUUCGGCCGAGAACUCUAAUCAGACUGCCUUCGUAAGGAGGAGGAAGGUGUGGACGACGUCAAGUCAUCAUGGCCCUUACGGCCAGGGCUACACACGUGCUACAAUGGGAUAUACAAAGAGCAGCAAUACCGCGAGGUGGAGCAAAUCUAGAAAAUAUCUCCCAGUUCGGAUUGUUCUCUGCAACUCGAGAACAUGAAGUUGGAAUCGCUAGUAAUCGUAGAUCAGCAUUGCUACGGUGAAUACGUUCCCGGGUCU